RNAcentral lists this ribosomal RNA (253 nucleotides) under uncultured bacterium. Its description in RNAcentral is "partial 16S ribosomal RNA". It matches the Rfam family "Bacterial small subunit ribosomal RNA", at positions 524 to 776 of the family's 1533-position model. The record is from RNAcentral.
UACGUAGGGUGCAAGCGUUGUCCGGAAUUAUUGGGCGUAAAGCGUCCGCAGGUGGCUGUUCAAGUCUGCUGUCAAAGCGCAGAGCUUAACUCUGUACAGGCGGUGGAAACUGAAGAGCUAGAGUAUGGUAGGGGUAGAGGGAAUUCCUGGUGUAGCGGUGAAAUGCGUAGAUAUCAGGAAGAACAUCGGUGGCGAAGGCGCUCUGCUGGACCAUAACUGACACUCAGGGACGAAAGCUAGGGGAGCGAAUGGG